UACCGGCGGCUCGAGUGGUGGCCACUAUUACUGGGCUUAAAGCGUUCGUAGCUGGUUUGUUAAGUCUCUGGGGAAAUCUGCCGGCUCAACCGGCAGGCGUUCCAGGGAUACUGGCAGACUAGGGACCGGGAGAGGUGAGGGGUACUCCAGGGGUAGGAGUGAAAUCCUGUAAUCCUUGGGGGACCACCUGUGGCGAAGGCGCCUCACCAGAACGGCUCCGACAGUGAGGGACGAAAGCUGGGGGAGCAAACCGGAUUAGAUACCCGGGUAGUCCCAGCCGUAAACGAUGCGCGUUAGGUGUAUCGGUGACCACGAGUCACCGAGGUGCCGAAGAGAAAUCGUGAAACGUGCCGCCUGGGAAGUACGGUCGCAAGGCUGAA
RNAcentral lists this ribosomal RNA (380 nucleotides) under uncultured archaeon. Its description in RNAcentral is "bacterial SSU rRNA". It matches the Rfam family "Archaeal small subunit ribosomal RNA", at positions 474 to 853 of the family's 1478-position model. The record is from RNAcentral.